Molecule: ribosomal RNA, 521 nt
Filed under: Thelonectria trachosa
Lineage: Eukaryota; Fungi; Ascomycota; Sordariomycetes; Hypocreales; Nectriaceae
Also listed under: 14 other names
Description: SSU rRNA
Rfam family: Eukaryotic small subunit ribosomal RNA
Source: RNAcentral
AUAAGCAAUUAUACAGCGAAACUGCGAAUGGCUCAUUAUAUAAGUUAUCGUUUAUUUGAUAGUACCUUACUACUUGGAUAACCGUGGUAAUUCUAGAGCUAAUACAUGCUAAAAAUCCCGACUUUGGAAGGGAUGUAUUUAUUAGAUUAAAAACCAAUGCCCUCCGGGGCUCCUUGGUGAUUCAUGAUAACUCCUCGAAUCGCAUGGCCUUGCGCCGGCGAUGGUUCAUUCAAAUUUCUUCCCUAUCAACUUUCGAUGUUUGGGUAUUGGCCAAACAUGGUUGCAACGGGUAACGGAGGGUUAGGGCUCGACCCCGGAGAAGGAGCCUGAGAAACGGCUACUACAUCCAAGGAAGGCAGCAGGCGCGCAAAUUACCCAAUCCCGACACGGGGAGGUAGUGACAAUAAAUACUGAUACAGGGCUCUUUUGGGUCUUGUAAUUGGAAUGAGUACAAUUUAAAUCCCUUAACGAGGAACAAUUGGAGGGCAAGUCUGGUGCCAGCAGCCGCGGUAAUUCCAGCU